Molecule: small nuclear RNA, 182 nt
Organism: Oryzias sinensis (Chinese medaka)
Lineage: Eukaryota; Metazoa; Chordata; Actinopteri; Beloniformes; Adrianichthyidae
Gene: U2
Rfam family: U2 spliceosomal RNA
About the family: U2 is a small nuclear RNA (snRNA) component of the spliceosome (involved in pre-mRNA splicing).
Source: Ensembl
AUCAGUUCUCGGCCUUUUAGCUAAGAUCAAGUGUAGUAUCUGUUAUCAGUUAAGAAAAGAUGGUCUGUGAUUUUUCAUCCAGGUAUGAAACAAACCUGAUCUGAAUGGACCAGGUUUUCCAGACAGGAGCACCAGGUGGGGUACCUCCUCUGAGCACCACACAGGAGAUCCAUAUAAUGCAU